Long non-coding RNA from Triticum dicoccoides, 2275 nucleotides. RefSeq lists it as uncharacterized. Lineage: Eukaryota; Viridiplantae; Streptophyta; Magnoliopsida; Poales; Poaceae. The transcript has 4 exons. The record is from RefSeq and is a predicted model, not a curated record.
AUAUAUAUAUAUAUAUACUGAUUUUGUGUUUGAGUUAGUGUGUUCUGUAUUUCUGUCGUGAUGAAUGCCUCUUUUAUUUGCCAAGCUCCUGAGCUCCUUUACAGGUAUCCUGUUGCGAAACUUAUGGUUGACAUAUGCAUUUCAAGGUUUUAUCUUCUAUGGCUAUAUUAUGUAUCUUCUAGCACACAACCAUUUGUAAACUGAUUGUUUCUUGUAUGAAUGUUAGGAUCUGGAAACUAUAGAUAGAAGAUGCUCAAGUAGUCAGUUGCAUACAUUUCUUUGUCCCCUCACGUGACAUGCAUUUGCGACAGAGGUAUGAGUACAGAUUCUUCCUCAGCUCCAUGGAUGUGGAAGAGCUUUCAGGGAUGCAUGCCACCAUGGGGUUUGUGCUUGGACCGGCAAGAUGGGAUUUGCUGUCAUAUGGCCAUGGCUUGUGGGGACAAGUAGUGUGUGAGGUGCCCUUGGAGGGACAUGGUUCAAGCAAACGAACUGGGUGUUUCAUUUAAAUCUGUAUAGAGCAAUCCAUUAUAGGAAUGUGUGCAUAAUCAAAAGAAAGAAGUUUAAAGGACACUUUAGUUAACCAGGUCUUUGUUUUAGUUUCUUAUUCUCAGGCAUAAAUCACACUUGUUUUUCUUUGUUUCUUGCGGUCUCAAAACUGUUAUCUUUAUUGGAGUCACAAAUCAAAAAUUUGUCAUUGCACUAAGUGCAUCUUUAAUUAUUUGUAUAUCAGAAAUUUAAUAUGCUAUCAUAUUAUCUGGUCGAAGUAUAAAUUGCAUAUGAUAAUCUUUUAAGUUUUUUUUGAAAAUUGUUUAUAUGUUCACUUUUAAAGAUCAUAGAUAAAACUGAUGGCUUUUGAUGACGCCUUGAAAAUUUUGAUUGACAAAGCUUUAUGAUGGAUUGGAUUAAAAACUCAUCGAGUUUUAACAAUCAGAAGUGUUGCAUAGAAAUAAUUGUUUUAUAUAUAUUUGUUGCGCAUGAUAAUACAAAAGGUGUGUUUCGAUAUAUUUGCAGAGUAUGCAAGAUGGAGAUGGAUUAUGUCAACCCUAAAAAACGACUCAUCGACAAGGUGUUGAGGUGAUGUUGUUGAAAGGGGUCAAACAUUCGUCAAGUUAUAUACAACAAAAGGCCCGUGGCAACGCACGGGCCUUGCAAAAAUAACCGAAGAUCCCGUCAGUUAGUUCAAGCAGCAUGAUUGUUUCUUACUCAUGGUCUGUAAAUUGUGGGACUAUUGUUUAUUUCUGUGACGCAGCAAAAUGCAAUUGGAAUGUGAGUCUAGACAAGGGAGUUAUUGCCUUGAAAGACUAUCAUUUUUUUCUUAUCUGCGGGUGAGGAAGUUCGAGAAGAACAAGAAGAUGUCAGAGUUUACGACGCAGUUGGACUCCAUUGGGUUUAAGAUAGCCGAGAUCACUGUGGAUGGCAACUAAAUAGCUAUUUGGAAGAGCUCAGGGGCGAGGAUGCUAGAGAGAGAUCUGAUGCAGCAAGAGACUCCUUUGUGGCCGACUUGCUUUAGAUGUUGAGAAGAAUGCCAACAAAGGGUCUGACAAAAAACAAAUCCCAUGAGAUAUCAUAGGACGACAAGAAUGUUGGAUUCUCGGAGAUCUAAGGAUCUCAUAACUUGUUCGCCUGCUUCUUUUUUGAGUUUUCAGUUAUCCUUUAUUUCCUUGCUUAUGUCAUCUCUUUGAUAUUUGUCUCUUUCUAAAAUGAGAAACAAGGGCUUUAUGUCCUUUUCCUUUUCCAUUAAUGGAUUUCACACAACAAUAAUAGGAAAUAGUUUCAGUGUUCUCAACUCUUUGUUGUUGCUUUUCAGAGAGUAUUUUCCUCGGAUGGGUAUUAUCUGACCCAUGUUUUCUUUGUCAAUGAAAAAUCGCGUGUGUUCUCAUACUUUCACAUGAAAUCUUGAAGGAAAGUAGACCCAAGGCUAUGUGGAUGGCAGCGGUUGCUCGGAGAAGAGAAUAAGCAGGGGUGCGAGGGAGUGAUGUGGACUGCGGAACGGAAGGAAGGGGAGGGAAGCUGCGUCCCUGAACUAUGCCCAUAGCUUUACAUCAAACUUCAUUGCAACUCUUGUUAGAUCCUAGCGGAUUAGUAUGAUUUUGGGUGCUGAAAGAAGCUGGCACUAUCAUGGACAUGUUUGUCUCGGGGCCCCUUCAGGAAUUUGCAGUUACCCCAUUAAUGAGUUUUAGUUAAUUUAUAUUCUAGGUUUCAUUGUGCCCCAGUUUCCUCUUGGGACGUUGGCCCUGAGGUGCGAACUCCAUCAUCCAUGUCAAUAUAAGGAUUG